GCAGUACUAUGAUGGACUCAAUACGAACUGCUGGCGGCAUGCCUAACACAUGCAAGUCGAUGAUAAGGCUUCGGCCUUAGUGGCGCACGGGUGCGUAACGCGUGGGAAUCUACCCUUAGGUUCGGAUAUAACAGUUAGAAAUGACUGCUAAUACCGGAUGAUGACGUAAGUCCAAAGAUUUAUCGCCUAAGGAUGAGCCCGCGUAGGCAGAGCUAGUUGGUGAGGUAAAGGCUCACCAAGGCGACGAUCCUUAGCUGGUCUGAGAGGAUGAUCAGCCACACUGGGACUGAGACACGGCCCAGACUCUGGACGGGAGGCAGCAGUGGGGAAUAUUGGACAAUGGGCGAACACCUGAUCCAGCAAUGCCGCGUGGAGUGAUGAAGGCCUUAGGGUUGUAAAGCCUACUACCCGGGAUGAUAAUGACAGUACCGGGAGAAUAAGCUCCGGCUAACUCCGUGCCAGCUGCCGCGGUAAUACGGAGGCGAGCUAGCGUUGUUCGGAAUUACUGGAUCGUAAAGCGCACGUAGGCGGCUUUGUAAGUUAGAGGUGAAAGCCUGGAGCUUAACUCCAGAACUUGGUUUAACGACUGCAUCGCUUGAAUCCAGGAGAAGUGAGUGGAAUUCCGAGUGUAGAGGCUGAAAUUCGUAGAUAUUCGGCUAAACACCAGUGGCGAAAGGCGGCUCACUGGACUGGGUAUUGACGCUGAGGUGCGAAAGCGUGGACGAGCAAACAGGAUUAGAUACCCUGGUAGUCCACGCCGUAAACGAUGAUAACUAGCUGUCUGGUAGCAUGGAGCUUAGGUGGCGCAGCUAACGCAUUAAGUUAUCCGCCUGGGGAGUACGGUCGCAAGAUUAAAACUCAAGCGAAUUGACGGGGGCCUGCACAAGCGGUGGAGCAUGUGGUUUAAUUCGAAGCAACGCGCAGAACCUCGUCAGCGUUUGACAUCCUCAUCGCGGAUCGUGGAGACACUUUCCUUCAGUAUGGCUGGAUGAGUGACAGGUGCUGCAUGGCUCUCGUCAGCGCGUAGAUGUGAGAUGUUGGCAUAAGUCACGCAACGAUACGCAACCCUCGUCCUUAGUUGCCAUCAUUAAGUUGGGCACUCUAAGGAACUUCGCCGGUGAUAAGCCUGACGAAGGUGGGGAUGACGUCAAGUCCUCAAGGCCCUUACGCGCUGGGCUACACACGUGCUACAACUGGCAACUACAGUGGGCAGCAAACCUGCGAGGGUGAGCUAAUCUCCAAAAGUUGUCUCAGUUCGGAUUGUUCUCUGCAACUCGAGAGCAUGAAGGUCGAAUCGCUAGUAAUCGCGGAUCAGCAUGCCGCGGUGAAUACGUUCCCAGGCCUUGUACACACCGCCCGUCACACUAUGGGAGUUGUGCGUCGCCCGAAGGCGCUGCGCUAACACGCAAGCGAGGUUCGCGAGCACGGUGGGUUUAGCGACUGGGGUGAAGUACUAACAAGGUACACCGUUUG
Molecule: ribosomal RNA, 1473 nt
Filed under: uncultured Sphingomonas sp.
Lineage: Bacteria; Pseudomonadati; Pseudomonadota; Alphaproteobacteria; Sphingomonadales; Sphingomonadaceae
Description: partial 16S ribosomal RNA
Rfam family: Bacterial small subunit ribosomal RNA
Source: RNAcentral